This 262-nucleotide ribosomal RNA is filed under the name uncultured bacterium. RNAcentral describes it as "partial 16S ribosomal RNA". It matches the Rfam family "Bacterial small subunit ribosomal RNA", at positions 92 to 354 of the family's 1533-position model. The record is from RNAcentral.
UUAGUGGCGGACGGGUGAGUAACGCGUGGAAAACCUGCCGUAUACUGGGGGAUAACACUUAGAAAUAGGCGCUAAUACCGCAUAAGCGCACAGCUUCGCAUGAAGCGGUGUGAAAAACUCUGGUGGUAUACGAUGGUUCCGCGUCUGAUUAGCUAGUUGGUGGGGUAAUGGCCUACCAAGGCAACGAUCAGUAGCCGGCCUGAGAGGGUGAACGGCCACAUUGGGACUGAGACACGGCCCAAACUCCUACGGAAGGCAGCAG